GGACUACCCGGGUAUCUAAUCCCGUUUGCUCCCCUGGCUUUCGCGCCUCAGCGUCAGAAAGGGUCCAGCAGAUCGCUUUCGCCACCGGCGUUCCUUCCGAUAUCUACGCAUUUCACCGCUCCACCGGAAGUUCCAUCUGCCCCUACCCUCCUCCAGCCGGCCAGUAUCAGGGGCACGUUUCCGGUUGAGCCGAAAGAUUUCACCCCUGACUGGGCCAGCCGCCUACGCGCCCUUUAAGCCCAGUGAAUCCGAACAACGUUCGCACGGUUCGUCUUACCGCGGCUGCUGGCAC
RNAcentral lists this ribosomal RNA (292 nucleotides) under uncultured Planctomycetota bacterium. Its description in RNAcentral is "uncultured planctomycete partial 16S ribosomal RNA". Lineage: Bacteria; Pseudomonadati; Planctomycetota. The record is from RNAcentral.